GUUUUGGAUUUUCUAAAUUGUAUGUUAACGGGCCAAAUUUUAGGGGUACUUUGGUCAAUUAAAUGCUCAAAACGCUAAAAUGGCUAUAAUUUGUUUUAUUGUUAAUCGAAAGACAGUUAUGUUAUUUCAUUAAUUUUGAAUUUCAAAAAUCAAACAUUUUCUCUCUUCUCCUUCUUCACACGAACAACGUCUCUUCUCGUCUUCUCUGAUAAUAGCGAUUCGAGUCUCAACUGAAGCAUCGUUGACGAAUCAGUUGUGAUCGUUUCGUGUCGAUGAUGU
Long non-coding RNA from Arabidopsis thaliana (thale cress), 279 nucleotides. RefSeq annotates it as other RNA. The record is from RefSeq. Lineage: Eukaryota; Viridiplantae; Streptophyta; Magnoliopsida; Brassicales; Brassicaceae. The transcript has a single exon.